This 440-nucleotide ribosomal RNA is filed under the name Escherichia coli. RNAcentral's name for it is "partial 23S ribosomal RNA". It matches the Rfam family "Bacterial large subunit ribosomal RNA", at positions 2491 to 2925 of the family's 2925-position model. The record is from RNAcentral. RNAcentral also lists the same sequence under 1 other name. Lineage: Bacteria; Pseudomonadati; Pseudomonadota; Gammaproteobacteria; Enterobacterales; Enterobacteriaceae.
CCCAAGAGUUCAUAUCGACGGCGGUGUUUGGCACCUCGAUGUCGGCUCAUCACAUCCUGGGGCUGAAGUAGGUCCCAAGGGUAUGGCUGUUCGCCAUUUAAAGUGGUACGCGAGCUGGGUUUAGAACGUCGUGAGACAGUUCGGUCCCUAUCUGCCGUGGGCGCUGGAGAACUGAGGGGGGCUGCUCCUAGUACGAGAGGACCGGAGUGGACGCAUCACUGGUGUUCGGGUUGUCAUGCCAAUGGCACUGCCCGGUAGCUAAAUGCGGAAGAGAUAAGUGCUGAAAGCAUCUAAGCACGAAACUUGCCCCGAGAUGAGUUCUCCCUGACCCUUUAAGGGUCCUGAAGGAACGUUGAAGACGACGACGUUGAUAGGCCGGGUGUGUAAGCGCAGCGAUGCGUUGAGCUAACCGGUACUAAUGAACCGUGAGGCUUAACCUU